ACAGUGUCUGGUGGGUAGUUUGACUGGGGCGGUCUCCUCCUAAAGAGUAACGGAGGAGCACGAAGGUUGGCUAAUCCUGGUCGGACAUCAGGAGGUUAGUGCAAUGGCAUAAGCCAGCUUGACUGCGAGCGUGACGGCGCGAGCAGGUGCGAAAGCAGGUCAUAGUGAUCCGGUGGUUCUGAAUGGAAGGGCCAUCGCUCAACGGAUAAAAGGUACUCCGGGGAUAACAGGCUGAUACCGCCCAAGAGUUCAUAUCGACGGCGGUGUUUGGCACCUCGAUGUCGGCUCAUCACAUCCUGGGGCUGAAGUAGGUCCCAAGGGUAUGGCUGUUCGCCAUUUAAAGUGGUACGCGAGCUGGGUUUAGAACGUCGUGAGACAGUUCGGUCCCUAUCUGCCGUGGGCGCUGGAGAACUGAGGGGGGCUGCUCCUAGUACGAGAGGACCGGAGUGGACGCAUCACUGGUGUU
Molecule: ribosomal RNA, 466 nt
Filed under: Escherichia coli
Lineage: Bacteria; Pseudomonadati; Pseudomonadota; Gammaproteobacteria; Enterobacterales; Enterobacteriaceae
Description: partial 23S ribosomal RNA
Rfam family: Bacterial large subunit ribosomal RNA
Source: RNAcentral